UGGGCAACCUGCCCCUGGCUCUGGGAUAACUCCGGGAAACCGGAGCUAAUACCGGAUACGAGACCGAUUGGCAUCUUUACGGUCUGGAAAGUUUUUCGGCCAGGGAUGGGCUCGCGGCCUAUCAGCUUGUUGGUGAGGUAAUGGCUCACCAAGGCGACGACGGGUAGCCGGCCUGAGAGGGCGACCGGCCACACUGGGACUGAGACACGGCCCAGACUCCUACGGGAGGCA
RNAcentral lists this ribosomal RNA (231 nucleotides) under uncultured bacterium. Its description in RNAcentral is "partial 16S ribosomal RNA". It matches the Rfam family "Bacterial small subunit ribosomal RNA", at positions 118 to 350 of the family's 1533-position model. The record is from RNAcentral.